Molecule: ribosomal RNA, 376 nt
Filed under: Metaphire tosaensis
Lineage: Eukaryota; Metazoa; Annelida; Clitellata; Crassiclitellata; Megascolecidae
Description: partial 16S ribosomal RNA
Rfam family: Bacterial large subunit ribosomal RNA
Source: RNAcentral
AACGGCCGCGGUAUCCUAACCGUGCAAAGGUAGCAUAAUCAUUUGCCUAUUAAUUGUAGGCUAGAAUGAACGGGUUAACGAAAUAAAGACUGUCUCAAUUAAUUACCUAAAAAUUAUUAUUUAUCCGAAGAAAGAUAGAUAAUCUCGAAGGACAAGAAGACCCUAUAGAGCUUAAUUUAAAUUAUAGAAUUAAACUAUAAAAAUAUUCGGUUGGGGCGACCCAGGGCUAAACAAUCACCCACUAUAUAUAAGAUAAAUAAAUCAAGUAACUGACCCUUAAAAGAUCACAAGACCAAGCUACCUUAGGGAUAACAGGCUAAUCCCACUCAAGAGUCCUUAUCAACAGUGGGGUUUGGCACCUCGAUGUUGGCUUAGG